UACGUAGGGCGCAAGCGUUGUCCGGAAUUAUUAGGCGUAAAGAGCUCGUAGGCGGCUUGUCACGUCGGGUGUGAAAGCCCGGGGCUUAACCCCGGGUCUGCAUUCGAUACGGGCUAGCUAGAGUGUGGUAGGGGAGAUCGGAAUUCCUGGUGUAGCGGUGAAAUGCGCAGAUAUCAGGAGGAACACCGGUGGCGAAGGCGGAUCUCUGGGCCAUUACUGACGCUGAGGAGCGAAAGCGUGGGGAGCGAACAGG
Molecule: ribosomal RNA, 253 nt
Filed under: uncultured bacterium
Lineage: Bacteria
Description: partial 16S ribosomal RNA
Rfam family: Bacterial small subunit ribosomal RNA
Source: RNAcentral